Molecule: long non-coding RNA, 872 nt
Organism: Orbicella faveolata
Lineage: Eukaryota; Metazoa; Cnidaria; Anthozoa; Scleractinia; Merulinidae
Source: RefSeq, a predicted model, not a curated record
GCCAGAGAGUGUAGAUUCACCAAAAUAAAUGCUACAGAUUAGAGCAGCUCAGUAUACUUUUCGAACAUCUUAAGUACUCGAUUGGAGAUUUCGAAGACGAGUGUGGCAACUUUUAUAUCACGUCCUGAAGGCUAAACACAAUAUUUCGUCGUCUGUUUUCAGCCUGGUUCUGAAAUUUGGAUUCUCACGUUUAUCUAAGGUCUAUUAACAAGAUUCGAAUAUAUCCUCGGCAACUUUACUGCAUUAAAAGCUGUAAGCGUAUCCCAGUCAGCCAUUCGCACAAUCACGAAGUUAUUAACGGACCACAAGCUUUGAGUCGAGUACUUCUUUGCACACAGAGGGCAUCUUUUUAUGAUACUAAUAAGUGAGAGUUCUUGUGGUAGACAAAAUGUGUCUUUGAAACUUGCGAUCGGCAGCAGGGUUUGCUUUAUCGCCGCAUUCGUAUCAGUGUAAACAAAGCGGGAAUUUCGCUUCUCUUUUACACGUGUCUCCCAAUUGCAAUAUUUCAUGGCUGAUGGAUUACUUUGAGUUCUUUAGCACAUACUUAUGUCUAUGAUCUUCUUUUAAUAGUACCAAAGUUUAAAGCAAUUCGUUAAAACGUCACUAGUUUACACUCCUUUCGAAGGUUUAUUAAACGGAAUUUGAACUAAUUUGCAUAUGUGACCUUUCGCCGCCGACAUUGUCACGCUUCCUCUCGUUUCCUGAAAACAUACCUGUAGGGUCAUGGCAGCUUAGUUUACCUUUAUAGUUUUAAAUUCGCUCCCUCCAUAUAAAAGAAGAGGGUUUCUUAAAUUGUUGCUGUUGUGAUAACUUGUAGGAUGUAGCAGAUACAACUGGACUAAAGGUCACUGUGGCACAAUCUCGUCCGCUGU